Molecule: ribosomal RNA, 301 nt
Filed under: uncultured bacterium
Lineage: Bacteria
Description: partial 16S ribosomal RNA
Rfam family: Bacterial small subunit ribosomal RNA
Source: RNAcentral
CAGUCGCCACGGUAAUACGAAGGGGGCUAGUGUUACUCGGAAUUACUGGGCGUAAAGGGCGCGUAGGCGGCACGAUUAGUCAGGCGUGAAAUUCCUGGGCUCAACCUGGGGACUACGCUUGAUACGGUCGAGCUAGAGGAUGGAAGAGGGUUGUGGAAUCCCCAGUGUAGAGGUGAAAUUCGUAGAUAUUGGGAAGAACACCGGUGGCGAAGGCGGCAACCUGGUCCACUACUGACGCUGAGGCGCGACAGCGUGGGGAGCAAACAGGAUUAGAUACCCCAGUAGUCCCUGUCUCUUAUAC